GCCAAGCUGGCCAAGCACUGCCCGCUCUCAGGGUUUGAGUGUCUCUCUGUCUAUCGCGCGUGCCAGCAUCCACGCCAACCCCCACCCCUCCCACCACUCCUUUCAUUCGCUUCGUCGGCACCCCACCGUCUUACGACCGGUGUGCACCGAAGUGGGAGGCGGACGUGCAGUGCAUACUAUCAACCUCACCAGAGGGUACGGCACCAGGAAAACGAGACACGGGGGAAGACACGCGAUGUCCGUGAGCUCGGACUCGUGCCACACGAGCGAGAACAGCGACAGUGCUGACGCGCUCAACUCCAACCGACCGCAGCGACUCUCGUUGAUAAGGAAGCAGAGGUCCCUCACCAGCCCGUCGCCCCGCUCUCACACGCCUGCGCCGUUGUCGCAUCUCACCUCGUUGACCACGGUAGCAUCACAGCCUCCGAGUAAAAAGGAUCGUGACCGCCGCAAUGACUACACCAAACUGAGCAGCGAACCCAGAAAGAGGAGCAACACCGCAGCGUCCUCCAUGAGGAGGGAGACUCUCGAAAGAGCAUACGCUCGCCAUGCAUCCUCGGUCGGCACAACGGCCGCAGCUUCUUCUCUUCAGGCUUCGAGAGCAACGGACGUAGAGCCGUAUGCGCGCACCAGUCCGACAACUUCGUCUCUCAACUCGGCAAGUUUUUCACUGACGCGCAUGCGACCGAGCUCUGCUGCAUCGCCAGCGACGGCGGUGCGCGGCGCCACACCGCAUGCUCAGAUCCGCAGCACCUCCAGGCCGGCAUCGAGGUCUGUACCAGGAUAUCUCCACUCAACCUUCAGUAGCCGGGCCCACUUACCAGUUCCACCCCCGGAGCUGCCCACCGCUGACGCCGCGCUGGCGCCCUUGCCGGUAUCCGUGACGGGCACCACAUCUUCUAAUCACAGCAUCGACACCGGUUCAGCACCUCCGCCAACCACGAGCCCGCUGCCCAGCAGUAUUGAGAGCGAGAGGAAAAUGUGCAGCACGGGCAACAACGGUGUGAUUCGACCCGGCCGCACUCGGGUGUCCGACCUUGAUUCACCAACAGGGACGCCAGCGUCGCCCGCCGUGAUCCACGGCAGCCGUAGCAGGGGGUACGGCGGAGCCUCCGGGGCACGUGCGGAGGUGGCUAUCUCACCCCCUUUUCUGCUUGAUGGCAUUGCGGCGCCGAUCCUGACGCAUCGUAACCCUAUUACAGACCCUGCUCCGCACAUCCACGGCGGAAAGCGCCGGAACCGUGCCACGCUAGAAUCUAGCUUCGCCAGCGUUUUGGAGGGGACGGGCGGUGAGCCGGCGCCGGCGCCACCGCCGCCAGCCCUCAUCCACAGCUCCUCACAGUCAGUGGAAGAGCAACUGGGCAUCACUGCGAAUGCCGCUGAAGAUCCCCGUAGCUCGUCGACCCUGAACCACGCGUCCUCGCAGCCGCCUUGCACGCCGAAGCAGCAGCUGCAGAAGCAGCCGAUGCAUGCACACAAUCCCUCGCAGUCUAUGGUGGCCCUUUUGUCAGUACCGCAGACGCCACGGCGACCAGUCAUCGUCUCCGAAGUGAAGGGUCGCCGCUUGCCCGCUCCGAACACCUCUCAGUUGAAUGAGAAAUCACAGAUAGCGCGCACCGGCGAGGAGGCAGUUUGCACCGCUCUCCCCUCCUCACUGCCGGCGGCGUCUUACGGCGCCCCAAUACACAAGGCUCGGCCAGUCCCGGCCUUCCCGCCUCCGCCGCCAGAGUAUGCACCGGUAAGUGCGCAUUCUGCGCAGACACUUCCGCACUCCUGCCCCUCUUCUGCUGGGGAGGAUGGCCCGCCGUCGUCCACGGCACCACUUGAUGCAGCAGCGGGCGAUAGCACAGAGCCGCAGCCCAGUAAGGGGCCGCAGAGUCGCAGCGCUUCCUCUUGCACACCGGAAAGGGGUUCAUCGUUGGAGCAUCGCUCUUCAGCAUUGCCGAGGUCUCCUUCUGCCGACGCGGCUGUAUACUCUCCCGUUUCUGUGCAAGAGCAGCCGCUGUCCAAGGAAAGCAUUCGAAGCGCUUCCUUGGAAACAACGGCUUCGGCGCAUCUGUCCCCACGCAGCCCCAGCGCGCCGAGGUCGCCGCCUACGUCUGCGGCCACACCACCGUCUUCGGUCGGCCCUGCAGCCCAGCUAUCGCCUUCCAUGGACAGCGUGCACAAUGACGUGGAAGAAGAGACCCCCGUCGCUAGAACCACGCCGCCACAGCCGGCACCGAUGCGAUUGCCAGAGCUGCACGUUGUCGCGGGCUCGGUGGUAUCGGCUGCUUCUGAGAGGUCGCUAUCAUCGCACCGCAGCGGCUCGCGUUCCACACCGCUGGAGAACUUCGCGGCGCUUCUCGAGGACUUGCAUGUGCUGUGGAAGGAGGAGGAGCCACUCACGUGUGAGGUGUCGCCUGUCAGUCACGCGUCCAAUGGGGCUUUUGAUGGAUGUACGUCGAGAAGCACCGCGAGGGUCAUGGCGGAGCCAAAAGAUGACGAGUCGGGCUCCGUGAUGUACCCGGCGGAUACAAGCGACCCCAAUCGGGAGGGGCCGGAGGAGGCAGAACAGGUCCCGGAGAGCUUCUUGGAUGGACCUCUUCGCGGAACCGACACCACCGGCCAUGCGCCCAUCACGCCGCGUCUUCGCCGCCGCAUUGAGAAGGAUCAGCGACGGGAACUGGAGAUGCUGCGUGCUGCCACGAAAGAGCGCCAUCCGGAGAUCUUGGGAUCGCUCGACUCGCCAGAAACGCUGAUGCGGGAGUUGGAGCGGAUGGAGGCGGACAGGGACGGACAAGAGGACGGUGGCAGAAGCACCACGCUCAACGUGACGGAUGAAGUGGAGACGCCGCCAGCUGCACGAUCAUCUCAGAAGCGGCCACCGACUGUGCCCGCGUCGUCGCGAACUUCACCAACACCGUUGGUUGCACAAGGCAGCCGCGCCAAACCCGAGGGAAGAUUGCCAGUGCGAGAUGCAGGAAGAGCCGCUGCCCCAACCACGGAGAAGAGCUCCAACACCGAGUCGUCUGCACGGAAGGGCAGGCCGAGUGUGUCUGCUGCGUCUACUCCCGGGGCGAGGGUGCGAGAGAGAAGCCAGGCAGUGCUGCGGAGCUCCCGGCGGACGAAUGCUCCGGAGAAUGGCUCCACGGGCAACGGUGACGGCGUGUGCAUCUCGACGCCUCGUGGACGAGCUGCCGGCGAGGCCGGCUCCGGGGCCAGGGGCGCGGGGAUGCCCCCUUGCGGUGCAGUGUGUGGCGCUGCACCACCCUUGUCAACCACGGCGCUGAAUAGUCAACUUACUGCGUCCGCGCCCGGCACUCCCGGUUCCGUUCGGGACCCUCGGCGGCGAUCACCCGCCCCUACCAUGACGGCCAGCGGUGGAUCAGAGCAGCUGUCACGCAUGGCUGCUCGGCGAGGGGAUGGCCCCAGCGGAUUAUCAAGUGGCGCCGGCACCUCCCCGCCCCAGAAGGCAGCCGCGACGGCCUCGGACGAUCUUCUGCCGGAGCUCUUCUCGGCGCAGGAGGCGGCGAACACCAUCACCAUUGUGUUUGACCUGGAUGAAACGCUCUGCAACAACCGGUGCUUCACCGGACCUAUACUUCGACCCGGCGCCGCGCUGCUUCUCCACACGCUGCGCGGCCUCUGCCCCUCACCUCGAUACAAACUUAUCGACACCCACACCCGCAGCCAGCAUGCCUCGAAUCGGCUGUAUGACGAGGCAAUGCACCGUAUGGGAGUGACGCCGCUGUACCGCUCACGGGUUGCGCAGAGACAGUCGGCGGAUGGCUACCGCCGCACUAACAGCACCGCUCCCGCUGGCACUAUUGCGGCGUCGGGUGUCGACGCGUCCGGGGUUUCAGGUAAGACCUGUUCUGCUGGCUUGUGCAGCACCGGUGAGGCGCGUCCUGCCACGGCGAAGGAUACAAAUCCUCUUCGACUGGAGCUGGUGCUGUGGACGGCGAGCGAAGAGAGCCUGGCCCGGCGCGCCAUGUGCCACAUUGACCCGGCGAACAAGAUCUUCGACGAAGCCAUUUAUCGCGACACGCGGUGGUAUCGUGACUCGCACUACACGAAGGAGCUGUGCCGACUUGGCCGGUGCAUGAAUCGCGUGGUCAUCGUCGAGAACUCGAUCGAAUCUGUCAUUCGCAAUCGCCAGAACUCCAUCCUGGUUACCAGCUUUGUACGCAACCGCCUCGACCGGCAACUCUUCCUCGUGCGCGAAGUCCUACGAGACUGGGUUUGUGGCAUGAAGGCGAAGCUGGCGGAGCAGCAGUACGCAUCCCGCGCUGCCAGUUCGCUGCGGGAGAGCGUUGAACGUACGGCGGAUAGCGAUGCCACGUUGCACGCAUUCAGAGAAGAUUCGGUCGGUUCCCGGGCCGGGGAGUCUGCCGAGGAGGGGGGCGAGAGUCCGGUGCCGCCACACUCGACGCGGCCGCCCGCACGCGUUGGCCGAAGUGAAAGCGGGCCAGCGGUGAUGAAUCAUGCGGGCACACACCUUGGCGACAGGGACCCCAUCAACGAUAAUUCUGACGGUAACGGCUCGCAACGUGGCGCAGCUCCUGAACUGGCCCUGUCAGCGCCGUGCCGGGCCCCCGCUCAUGCUGUGUCGGUGCCCAGCUCGCCGCCGCGUUCCGCCCCUCGCCCCCUCAGUGCUAUGGCGCGUCGCGCGCCAAACAUUGUGGAGUUUCUGCAGCACCAUCGGCUCAUCUUUCCAGACUCGAACUUCCUUCGCUUCCAGCUUACGGGCGACGUCAUGAAGCACCUGCAGACCAAGGAGGCCGCCCUCAUCGCCGCUGCCCUCCACCCGCCGCAGACGGCAGCUGAACAAGCGGACACGCGGGCGGCGCGUUCCAUCGGCUGCGGACCUGCUUCUCGCACAACCCGAUCCGUGCGCGCACCACCGAACGUGCCGCCCUCCUCCACGCCUCCAGUAACUACUACCGCGCCUACCACGGCAAACCCGGCAGGACCUGCACCAAGAACGCCGCAAUCCCGCGCUGCUGGCCGUGCAUCUCCUAGCGGGGGUGGGGCUGCAGAGGACGGCGCCUCCGCAGCUGCGACGCGGCUGCGUAUUCCAGGGAAGGAGGUGGGCGCGGCGAGAACGCCUGCAGCGGCGGCGACUCCGACGUCUCCGUUGGGAGGACCCGUGGUGGGCGCCAGUGGGAACAGCCGCCCCGGCCACUCAUCCUCCAACGGUGUGGCUCGUGCGGCAAUUGCAAACCGCGACCCGGCGGUGCGACCGCAGCGCACAGUGUCUGCGCCUCCCAAGCGUUCAGUGACGAACGAGACGUAGGGCUCGCGCGGCAGUGUGAGGGAGAAAAAAAGGAAGUUGAGCUGAAUGACGCGUCGAGGGCCAACCCAUUCUAUCAAGGGCAAGGGAGAACGGCCACGGGGGGGGUGAAGGUCUGAGCACGUUCCGCGUGCGCGGACACGUGUGUGCGUGUGGCUAGAGCUCCUUUAUCUCCUCAUUUUCCUCUCCCCUCUCGUGGCUGAGGCAGCAUGUCGUAUCCAUGAGAGCUCGUGCAAUGUGAAGCUCAGUGUCAUCGGAUCGACUUCUGGCGGUGCGCAGGGUGCAGGAGGCGCAUUUAGGGGCGCAUCUGCUUCCCUGAAACAAACUUGUCGACCACGGAACCGCCAGCGCGUCACGCCACCCUUCCCCCUUCCCCCCCCCAAACAGGGGUCGGAGCACCUUAACGACGGUUUGUGUGUGCGUUUGUGUGUGGGCACACCUCUCGGCUCAUGGUGGCUCAGAGUCCAGUGCCCCUUCCCCCCACUCUCUUCAGAAGCCAGGCAACCCUCCUCCCUCAUCUCUAUCCCUGCCUAUGCCAGAGCCACCUCUGGCGCUGGCAGGGCGGUGCAUCGCUGCUGACAGCGGACCGCCAGGUCCUGGGCGGCGUGGCGUCCGGGUGAUCUGCAGCCGCGAACGCGCGUGUGCACUCUCCACAUGAUGGGCAGAGUGUCCGCGUGACUCGAACGCAUCCCACCCCCGGCCCUCGCACGGCCCACUGGUGUGGGGAGAUCUGAGCCGUCCCGAGGAGAGGGGGGUGGGAUGCACCAGGGGUGGCAGCCGGCAUAGCGGGGGAGCGGCUGUGAGGCGACCUGCACGGUGAAGGCUGGCCAGAGUUUGAGGCAGAGACGGUGCUGAGAUGACGGGGCCGGCGCAUUGCUGUAAUGCGUGUGCCUAGCGUUGCUUCGCACCCCGCUGGUGGGGCCUGUGACAGACCCUGCGUAGAGCACAGUUGAGCUCGUGCUGUACGGGACAUAGAAUGGACACGCAUUGGACCGAAAAGAAAAGGCGGAAUGGGUAACAAGUGGGUGGGGGAGCUCGCCCUCCACUUCUUCUGUAGCUGGAUCGACAACCGGGUCUACCGUUGCUACUGCUGUUCUCUGCGCCGUUAUGGCUUGGUUCUCGCGCGUACAGCCGUUGGCCUCGUGCAAUCCGUGUGUGCUUCUUGUCGUUG
RNAcentral lists this unclassified non-coding RNA (6446 nucleotides) under Leishmania donovani. RNAcentral's name for it is "gene:LdHU3.33.1220(CDS-product:NLI_interacting_fa ctor-like_phosphatase_putative)". Lineage: Eukaryota; Euglenozoa; Kinetoplastea; Trypanosomatida; Trypanosomatidae. The record is from RNAcentral.